GAUAGGUUCAGUAAAGAUGCUGAGGAAAAAAACACCACCUACUUCCUACACCACCUACUUCCUGCACCACCCAGUUGUUUUUCUUCUCAUCAUGAGAAGAUUUCCUUUCAAGUACAGACCGAAGAGCUCAUGCACCCCAAGUCCAAAGGGUGGGUAAUGAACUCAUCUGGAAUAGGCAUUUUGGUCCCUUGGUGGUUGACUGCAUCAGAUCUCUGGCAGAGACGGAACAGCCUGUCAACAUUUGAAUGAGGGGUAAAAAUGACAACAGAUCUGUGUAUUUAACCACACGUAGAUUCGCCGGGUAUYGGUGGGAAUUAACGAAAGCGUUACGGUGUGCCCAAGCAUCCUCUCUCCCCCACGGCUGCCGGUCUGCUGUGCUGCUCCUGUACAGAAGCCCAACUAGGUGCUUUCUCCUCAAGGCCUUGAUUUGGUGAAGCCCUUCUGCAGUUAUUCAACUUUAGGUGGGAAGAGGACACUUCAGGAAGAUACACUGGAAGAUGCAGAGACAAAGCCAGGAUGUUCCCAUCUGAUCUCCCCUUCCAGCUCCCCUGGAGGUAGUCUAGUUUGGAGAGAGAAGCCCUCACAGGAGAGAUUUUUGCCUUUCCAGAGGAACUCGGCCACAGGACACCCAAGAAAAGUGAUUUCUGCAGCUUCACUGCCCUGUCCAAAAUUGCUCUGUUCUCAGACCGGGGAAGCAGUGGGAGGAGAGCGGGAUGGUGCCUCUGGGGCCCACCGUUGCUGCCUGGGGUUGUGGCACUGCUCUGGGAAAGGUAAGAGCCUUUGUAGGAAGAUGAGGGAAGCAGUGGAUAGAGGCUUUGGAAGGUGGGUAGUAGGGAGAGGGUCCCCUUUGGGGAACGCAUGGCUGUGUUAGAGUUGCGGGGGGUGGUAGGACGCUGGGGAGCAGUGUGUUGCAUGUGUGCAAACAGGAGCUAUUUGGGGUGACAGAGCAGUGCAGGGGGGUGACAGCAAGGCAGUGCAGGAACUGGCAUGGCACUUGCAGUAGCUGCAACGUCCCUGAGUUAGCUAAUGUCAAUGGCUUGCAAAUCUUCAAUGGCCUACCCAUCUAGCUGAGCUGUGCUGCCAAUGAAAGAAAGCUCUUCAGGGCAGGGAAUGAGCCCUUGUAUUUGGAARGGACCUACCUGGGAAUUAGACCCGUGUGGCUAUGCUGAGCCGCGUGUCUCACUGCAGCUUGGAGGGCGCUGGCGAGAAGUUGGCUUUUGCAAUACRUUUGUGCAGUGCCGAGCACAGGAGACCCACAGUGGCUGAGAUCUGCCAGCAUGGCUGCAAUGCAAGUAAUGCAAAUUGUUCUUUAUACAACUGCAUCCAUACUUUUACUGUUCUCAUUGCAAAUUCACUUGCUUUGCACCUGGAAACAUGCACCUGAAUGUCAUUUUGGUGUUGCUGGUGGUUGGAAAUCAAUAUUAAUUUACUUGUGCGUAUAAAUACAGAAAUGUAUUUAUAAGUUUCAGAUCAGUUGCAAACACAUGCAAAUUCUGUACAUAAAUUCUCACUCAUUUAUGUAAUCUGUUCAGUAAUGUCAUUAAGGAGAGCACAUCUAGUGCCUGGCUAGAGUUACAUUUGCAUGUGUUGAGAUCAAGCGGGAACAUUCACUUAACACACUCCCUUGCCCAUGCAUUUCCCAGUAGGCGGGUGAUGCUCCAACUCCAGGUAUCUCCUGCUCUUUUCCUGUGAUGUGCUAUUACUAUUUUUAAGGUUUUUUGGUCUUUUGAGCACAACUGAGUUUGGUUCAGGAUUUGGGGAAAUCUUCUGCUGCUUGUGGCAUAGGGAGGGGAUUCUGCAGUUUUUUUGGACUAAACACUUGUUGCAGUCGUCUGUGACUGCAGAUGCACUGGACUUGAUAGCAUAGCUGG
This is a long non-coding RNA of Dromaius novaehollandiae (emu), 1871 nucleotides long. Lineage: Eukaryota; Metazoa; Chordata; Aves; Casuariiformes; Dromaiidae. The record is from Ensembl.